Molecule: ribosomal RNA, 475 nt
Filed under: uncultured bacterium
Lineage: Bacteria
Description: bacterial SSU rRNA
Rfam family: Bacterial small subunit ribosomal RNA
Source: RNAcentral
GACGAACGCUGGCGGCGUGCCUAACACUAUGCAAGUCGAACGGAGAUGAUGGGAUUAGCUUGCUAUUUAAUCAUCUUAGUGGCGGACGGGUGAGUAACACGUGGGCAACCUGCCCCAAAGAGGGGGAUAACACCGAGAAAUCGGUGCUAAUACCGCAUAACAUUAGAGCUUCGCAUGGAGCUUUAAUCAAAGGAGCAAUCCGCUUUGGGAUGGGCCCGCGUCUGAUUAGCUAGUUGGUGAGGUAACGGCUCACCAAGGCGACGAUCAGUAGCCGAUCUGAGAGGAUGACCGGCCACACUGGAACUGAGACACGGUCCAGACUCCUACGGGAGGCAGCAGUGGGGAAUAUUGCACAAUGGGGGAAACCCUGAUGCAGCAACGCCGCGUGGAGGAAGAAGGUCUUCGGAUUGUAAACUCCUGUCUUCUGGGACGAAUAAUGACGGUACCAGAGGAGGAAGCCACGGCUAACUACGUG